This 593-nucleotide long non-coding RNA is filed under the name Homo sapiens (human). RNAcentral's name for it is "HSALNT0291559". Lineage: Eukaryota; Metazoa; Chordata; Mammalia; Primates; Hominidae. The record is from RNAcentral.
CUUGCAAACCACCGGCCGGGAUCGCCGAGGUGUGGCCUGUUUUCAUGGCGACCAGGACGCUCUGCAUCCCCAGUAGCAGGCUGAGCCGAGGGAGGCUGCGUAUGCCCGCCCCUCUGGCUGUCGGAGCCGCACCUCUUCCUCUUCCGGCCCCCGUAGCAAUUAGGUUUCUUUGCAGGAGGUGAGAUUUUGGUACCUCUGUCCUGGCGUCCGGAGGCAGGGCCCGGGAGCAUUGAGACUAUUGCGAGAGAAAGGACCGCCGCACGGUGGUAGCGAGCGCAUCUUUUUCAUCUGGGACCUCGGAAACUGUGAUGAAGCCAGACUGCUCAUCAUUCCAGACAUCUUCAGCUGCUACACCCAGAACAAGCAUUCGAAAUAUGAACAGGAUGGUGAGCCAGAUCUUUCCAAUCAUGGUGGAGUGGAUGUGAACUUCCUCCAGAGUAUCUCCAAGGAGAUUCCAGUCCCCCAUGUUUAUUUAGUCAGCCAUCUUAGCUCUGAUCCACAUCAAAUAAGAGGCAGAUAAAUUCUUCCAUUCUGAAGGGAGCACUAUUUCUUAAAGCAAACCUAUGGUGAAAAUAUAACAAUAUGUCACUUCU